CCUACGGGAGGCAGCAGUGAGGAAUAUUGGUCAAUGGACGAGAGUCUGAACCAGCCACGUAGCGUGAAGGAUGACUGCCCUAUGGGUUGUAAACUUCUUUUAUAUGGGAAUAAAAUGUUCCACGUGUGGGAUUUUGUAUGUACCAUAUGAAUAAGGAUCGGCUAACUCCGUGCCAGCAGCCGCGGUAAUACGGAGGAUCCGAGCGUUAUCCGGAUUUAUUGGGUUUAAAGGGAGCGUAGGUGGAUUGUUAAGUCAGUUGUGAAAGUUUGCGGCUCAACCGUAAAAUUGCAGUUGAAACUGGCAGUCUUGAGUAUAGUAGAGGUGGGCGGAAUUCGUAGUGUAGCGGUGAAAUGCUUAGAUAUCACGAAGAACUCCGAUUGCGAAGGCAGUUCACUGGACUGCAACUGACACUGAGGCUCGAAAGUGUGGGUAUCAAACAGGAUUAGAUACCCUUGUAGUC
Molecule: ribosomal RNA, 460 nt
Filed under: uncultured bacterium
Lineage: Bacteria
Description: partial 16S ribosomal RNA
Rfam family: Bacterial small subunit ribosomal RNA
Source: RNAcentral